GCUCCCGUAGCUCAGCUGCAUAGAGCGUUCGCCUCCGGAGCGAAAGGCCGCAGGUUGAAGUCCUGCCGGGAGCGCCA
This 77-nucleotide transfer RNA is filed under the name Pyrinomonadaceae bacterium. RNAcentral's name for it is "tRNA-Arg". It matches the Rfam family "tRNA". From Rfam's summary of the family: Transfer RNA (tRNA) molecules are approximately 80 nucleotides in length. Their secondary structure includes four short double-helical elements and three loops (D, anti-codon, and T loops). The record is from RNAcentral. Lineage: Bacteria; Pseudomonadati; Acidobacteriota; Blastocatellia; Blastocatellales; Pyrinomonadaceae.